ACAAGACUCCCUUUAUAAGAGACGGUCCAGCUCCAUCUAAUGAUCACUCGUCAUCAUGGCGCUGAAAGUUAGCUGCUGUUGGAAAGGGCUCCUUCUGUUCUCUUUCCUUCUCGUCUGUGUCAAUGGACAAAUAUCAGGGCCAUAUUUCAUGGUGACGUUUCCUGCAGUGAUUGAGUCGGGAUCUUGAGGCCAAACUGUGUGCAAGUCUUCUCAAGCCCAAUCAAAACCUUGUCAUGAACAUUUAUCUGGUUCAUGGUGACCAGAGCACUUUACUGCUACAGGAGAAAGCUGAGGAAGAGUUUCACCGCUGCUUUAACUUCAAGGCUCCUCUGGUAGAAGCAGAAUCAGUGCAGAAAAUAAAGGUAGAACUUCAGGGAAAGUAUUUCAAGAUGACUGAAGAGAGAAAAGUCAUGUUCAAACCUUACCAUCCUCUGACCUUUAUCCAGACUGAUAAACCCAUCUAUAUUCCUGGACAAACAGGUGAGCUGUGAACGUUUCAAAUAA
Long non-coding RNA from Labeo rohita (rohu), 504 nucleotides. RefSeq lists it as uncharacterized. The record is from RefSeq and is a predicted model, not a curated record. The transcript has 3 exons. Lineage: Eukaryota; Metazoa; Chordata; Actinopteri; Cypriniformes; Cyprinidae.